UACGGGGGGGGCAAGCGUUGUUCGGAAUUACUGGGCGUAAAGGGCUCGUAGGCGGCCAACUAAGUCGGACGUGAAAUCCCCAGGCUCAACCUGGGAACUGCAUCCGAUACUGGAUGGCUUGAAUUCGGGAGAGGGAUGCAGAAUUCCAGGUGUAGCGGUGAAAUGCGUAGAUAUCGUGAGGAAUACCAGAGGCGAAGGCGGCUCCCUGGACAAUUGCUGACACUCAGGCACGAAAGCGUGGGGAGCAAAAGGG
RNAcentral lists this ribosomal RNA (253 nucleotides) under uncultured bacterium. RNAcentral describes it as "partial 16S ribosomal RNA". It matches the Rfam family "Bacterial small subunit ribosomal RNA", at positions 524 to 776 of the family's 1533-position model. The record is from RNAcentral.